Molecule: ribosomal RNA, 512 nt
Filed under: uncultured bacterium
Lineage: Bacteria
Description: bacterial SSU rRNA
Rfam family: Bacterial small subunit ribosomal RNA
Source: RNAcentral
ACGCUGGCGGCGUGCCUAAUACAUGCAAGUCGAACGGUCUUUCUAUGGAAGCUUGCUUCCACUGAGAAGAUAGUGGCGAACGGGUGAGUAACACGUGGGUAACCUGCCCAUAAGAGGGGGAUAACAUCCAGAAACGGGUGCUAAUACCGCAUAGUUUUCUUGAUCGCAUGAUUGAGAAAGGAAAGACGGCCUUUGUGCUGUCGCUUAUGGAUGGAUCCGCGGCGUAUUAGUUAGUUGGUGAGGUAACGGCUCACCAAGACGAUGAUACGUAGCCGACCUGAGAGGGUGAUCGGCCACAUUGGGACUGAGACACGGCCCAAACUCCUACGGGAGGCAGCAGUAGGGAAUCUUCCGCAAUGGACGAAAGUCUGACGGAGCAACGCCGCGUGAGUGAAAGAAGGUUUUCGGAUCGUAAAACUCUGUUGUCAGAGAAGAACAAGUUGGAGAGUAACUGCUCCAGCCUUGACGGUAUCUGACCAGAAAGCCACGGCUAACUACGUGCCAGCCGCGGC